RNAcentral lists this long non-coding RNA (1017 nucleotides) under Anser brachyrhynchus (Pink-footed goose). Its description in RNAcentral is "lncRNA (ENSABRG00000015090.1)". The record is from RNAcentral. Lineage: Eukaryota; Metazoa; Chordata; Aves; Anseriformes; Anatidae.
CUCCAAUGUGCUGAGGGCAAUUGCAUGGGGCAGCUGAUAAAUAUGGGCUAAAUUGCAUAAUCUUAGCAUAUUUCAUGCAUCAAUAUCAUGGCAGGUGGUAACAUAAAUAUAUCAUCUAUAAAGAUGGUGAAGGGUCUGGAGGGCAAGAUGCAUGAGGAGCGGCUGAGGUCCCUGGGUUUGCUCAGCCCAGAGCAGAGCAGGCCGAGGGGAGGCCUCAUGGCGGCCUGCAGCUCCCUCACGAGGGGAGCGGAGGGGCAGGCGCUGAGCUCUGCUCUCUGGGGACAGCGACAGGACCCCACUGUGGUGGCAGACAGGGUUCCCAUCUGCUCUCUCAUUACAGAAGCCAUGAAGGUCUUCAUCUCAGGUCUAGAUGAGCAUCUUGGUGGGCUCCAGCAGUGAUGAAGAACACCACAGCAGAUGAAGAGACACAUGAAUGAAUUCCCAGAGUCCCAAAUACCCAGUGGCCAGGAAUAUACUGGACGUAAAUGCUUACUCUCUUGUGACCGUGGAGGUUGGUGUCUAGGGCCCCAUUGUGAGCCAUUUCCUUCUACACAUGGUGCAGGCUCCAGCUCUCAGCAGCAUGAGGUCUGUGUUGUGUAGCCCCUUGGCUUGGGAAGAUGGAUGAUAGUUCGGGUCUGCUGGACACCACUGUCCUAGGACCUGAGUCCAAACAAGGCUCUGACAUGAGCCCUCAUGAUGCAAACAGUUCUCAUUCUGUGUGUGUAAGACUGAAGAUGACAAACAGUGAUGGAGAAGAAGGGUCUUUGGAUCUUUGGUUACUGGUAUCUCCACUAGUGUUGGGCUUCAACAUCCUAUGAGAAGGCAGUGAACUCCUGAGAGAGAGUAUACUUUAUAAUUAAUUUCAAAAUGUGUGAUGUUAGUUUGGUCCUUCUGCUGGUGGAUUCAAUGUUUAGGCCUGUGUUGAUUUCUGUGCUCAGGAGUGCAGCUCCCAAAGUCUUUUGAAAAUGAGCACCAAGUCAGAUCAUGGAAUAAAUCUGUUUAGAGUUGGACUACGCA